This 101-nucleotide ribosomal RNA is filed under the name Periophthalmus magnuspinnatus. Lineage: Eukaryota; Metazoa; Chordata; Actinopteri; Gobiiformes; Gobiidae. The record is from RNAcentral.
AGUUGGUGCCAUAUCACCUUGUCAAUGCCUGAUCUGAUCUCAGAAGCUGAGCAGGGUUGGGCCAGGGUAGUACUUGGAUCUAAGACCUGGUGCCACAGUGA